UAUAUUAUAUUAUAUUUUAAAAUAACAAAUAAAUUAUUGAUGCUAAAACUUAUAAAUUUAUUUUGAGAAAUAAAAAACUUAUAACAUUUUUUUUAUCAUUAAGUAACACAUAAAAUCUAAAUACAUUAUUAAAAACUUAAAUACCAAAAAUUGAAUAAAAAAAAAAUUUGACUUCAUUCCUUCACGCUAACACCUAACGGCUAUUCAUCACUCCCGCUCAAUUUUCACGCUAACACCUCAAAAAGAAAGAAAAACAUUGAAUCAUAGUUUCAGGCUUACUGCCCUAGCCGCCUUCAACUUUCUUC
Molecule: long non-coding RNA, 305 nt
Filed under: Salvia miltiorrhiza (redroot sage)
Lineage: Eukaryota; Viridiplantae; Streptophyta; Magnoliopsida; Lamiales; Lamiaceae
Description: long non-coding RNA (SMIL_LNC008901)
Source: RNAcentral